AGGAGGGGAUUAUUCAAGGCUGUGGGUCAUAGGCUUGGGAAUCUCAGGGGCCAUCUUAGAGUUCUGCCUAACAUAAGAAGUAAUUUCAGAUCCCUUCUGAACAAGCAUUUAAGUUUUGGGAAACAAGUGGCUAAGGAGAGAAUCAUGUUUCAUUCCACUGUUCCACAUUCAGGGAGUGUGCGUGUGCGGCGAGUGUAGGAUGAGAGGCGUGUGGCUGAUGUUCCCUCCCUGCCUACACUCGGUGUGACUCUGCUACCUGGAUGUACCUGUUAAUCAUACAGGGUGGCCCUUAGCUGUUUAACCAGGUGCUCAGUUGAAGAAACAGCAAUUCUUCUCUAAGACUGGAUGAAAAAUUGGCUGUGUUCAGUUUAUUGACAGCUGGUAGAUCUCCAAUAUAGCACUUUCCUAAGAGAUUUUCAAAGGAUGACAUCCAAGGGAAGUGGGAGACCACAGAUGAACCUACAGAGAUGGGCACGGUGUCACCAGAUGGAGAGAGUGGAAGAGGACAUUUCAGGAGGAGGUGUGGCAUGCACAGAAACGCGGAUGCACACAAUGAAACAGUCAUGAAGUGGCCGUCUGGCUGGAGCCCAGAGUUCAGCUAAGUGAAUCUGAAGAGGUGCUGAGGCCGUCAUGUGAAGGUUCCCUUCCUGUACCUGGGGGAAAGGGUCCUCAUCACCAAAGGAUCUCACAGAAGAAUCUGGAGGAACAGGCCCUGCUGUUUUCCCGACUUAACCCUACUGAGCCCAUUCCCUUUGGUCCUUUCAUAUUUUCAUGUGACUUCCUGCUCUCCAUCAAAC
Molecule: long non-coding RNA, 797 nt
Filed under: Equus asinus (donkey)
Lineage: Eukaryota; Metazoa; Chordata; Mammalia; Perissodactyla; Equidae
Description: lncRNA (ENSEASG00005032597.1)
Source: RNAcentral